Diabrotica virgifera virgifera (western corn rootworm) is the source of this 487-nucleotide long non-coding RNA. RefSeq lists it as uncharacterized. The record is from RefSeq and is a predicted model, not a curated record. NCBI's taxonomy places the organism in Eukaryota, Metazoa, Arthropoda, Insecta, Coleoptera, Chrysomelidae. The transcript has 3 exons.
CGGAAAAUGGCGGCGAUUUUUAAAAAUAAGACAUAUUUUAAAUUGCAAUUACAUGAAAAGUAACGCCCGCCCCCAAUAAAAAAUUAUUGUACAAUUAUCAGGCCACUUUCAGCUGAUUCUAAAAAAAUUAAAAUGAACGGUAAUAAUAUGCAUGCAUAAAUGAUUCGUUUCAUAAAGAAUAAAGAAAAUUGAAAACGGAUUUUAUAAUACUUACAAAAUUGUUUAAACAAGAGAUUAAGCCAGAGCCCAGAGCAAAAACUAGGAGACAGUACAGCAAAAAAGCCACUAAUUUCCAUUUCCCACACCCCCUUAUCGAUGCAUUUUUUCCAAUCAAAAUUUUUACUAAAUUUUUAGGUUAUCGGUUAUCUUAUGAAAAUUAGUGAUGACCAAUGACCACGCGACGCUACAUAGAUACUCGCGCGGCAAAUUUGAAAAUGAACGCAAAUUGAACAGUAAAUGGCCUCUCUUAAAACCUUGUAAUGGAAAA